AGCACCAACGAACAACGGUGAAGAAAGACGACUUCGGUGGCGAAGUGAGAGUUUCAAAUGGUGGAGCGAGAGUUUCAAAUAGAGCGAGAGUUUCGAAUGGUGAAGCGAGAGUUAAGAAUAUUGGAGUGAGAGUUGAGAAUGGUGGAGCGAGAGUUGAGAAUGGUGGAGUGAGAGUUGAGAAUGAUAAAACUGGUGAGAGAGGGUUUUGAAUGAAAAAAAUGGUGAAGACACCAACAGGUUUUUCAGCUUUUUGCUUUCCAAAAAUGCCUUCAAAAGCUCAUUUUAUCUUUUUUAAAAAAUCAUUUAAAAUAACAAAUGACAAAACAACACGUGUUGUUGUCAAUUUGUUGUCAAAUGAACGUUGAAGAAACAUUUUCCAUAAUGUUAUUACCAAUCAUUCA
Molecule: long non-coding RNA, 401 nt
Filed under: Vigna radiata
Lineage: Eukaryota; Viridiplantae; Streptophyta; Magnoliopsida; Fabales; Fabaceae
Description: long non-coding RNA (VRAD_LNC007866)
Source: RNAcentral